This 72-nucleotide transfer RNA is filed under the name Heterocephalus glaber (naked mole-rat). It matches the Rfam family "tRNA". Rfam says of the family: Transfer RNA (tRNA) molecules are approximately 80 nucleotides in length. Their secondary structure includes four short double-helical elements and three loops (D, anti-codon, and T loops). Further hydrogen bonds mediate the characteristic L-shaped molecular structure. tRNAs have two regions of fundamental functional importance: the anti-codon, which is responsible for specific mRNA codon recognition, and the 3' end, to which the tRNAs corresponding amino acid is attached (by aminoacyl-tRNA synthetases). tRNAs cope with the degeneracy of the genetic code in two manners: having more than one tRNA (with a specific anti-codon) for a particular amino acid; and 'wobble' base-pairing, i.e. permitting non-standard base-pairing at the 3rd anti-codon position. The record is from Rfam by way of RNAcentral. Lineage: Eukaryota; Metazoa; Chordata; Mammalia; Rodentia; Bathyergidae.
UGAGGUGUAGCUCAGUGGCAAAACACUUGGCUACCAUGCAAGAGGCCCUAGGUGUGAUUCCCAGCACCACAA